Long non-coding RNA from Dreissena polymorpha, 991 nucleotides. RefSeq lists it as uncharacterized. The transcript has 3 exons. The record is from RefSeq and is a predicted model, not a curated record. Lineage: Eukaryota; Metazoa; Mollusca; Bivalvia; Myida; Dreissenidae.
UUAAGAACAAAUAGGUAUCAUACUAGCAACUGUGUUUGCGAUUUUAUUCACCUAACAUAAUUAUACAUUUCUGCUGUAUGUGUAGUAAAGGUCAAUUUAUUGUCUCCUUUUUCAUAUAACAUACAUUUAUUUUGGAAAUUCUAUCCUCUCUCUACAGCGUGCGUAAUCUUCAUUUAAUCUAACAAGGUGCCUGUACCACGUUACUUUUUCGGCUAUGUGUUACUCCUAUAAAUAUGAGGUCGAUUUACAUCGUAAGCGGGGUAGCUUACGUCUAAUUAUUUGGACUAGGCUAUGUGUGGGACAAUCGGAUGUCAACAAACCAUCGCUUCAGAAUGCCGUUUGUUUGGGAACAGUGUGGUAGAGAGGUCAAAACACAGUCGGGAAUCUCCAAACACAAAGCCAUCCACGCACGGGAAGGAAAAUAUUUCUGUUGCGGCAAACCUUUUCUUGGAGAUUAAAGUAUUUUUGGAAGCACCUUCAAGAGACGUACUGAUAUCUUGAUCAAUGAAAAGUUGUCAUAUAUAGUAUAUGUUCAAAAGACUGUUUGUUUUGUUACCAGAUGGUGCAAGUAUUGCAGUGAAAGAAAACAAUCAAAGUAAACAUUAAAUACACAUUUGACAAUUCAAAAAAUUGAACAGCAUGUAUUGUUUAUUACUUGGUGCGUUGGUAACAAGAUCUUGCAGCCCCUUUCAUGACCGGGUCGAAUGAGUAUUUUCAUUAAACAUCUUACACUAUUUUCAGUUAUUCAUAUUUCAUUUGAAAUUGAGUUAAUGAAGUAUUAAUACAAUUAAAUAUAUUUGUUGGUAUAAUAAACCCCCAAAGCCAAGACUUUUUUUGCGAUGAUCAUGUGUUACGUGUUAAUUAGAUCAUUUAUAUGUUUGUAUAGCAAGAUUUGUUACUUUGCGAAUACUGAUGUACUUCUUUGUGUACUUGGUGCUUUAAUUUCUAUUUUAACAUGUGUAUGCUGGUUAUAAAGCAAUGUUAUUAUUAA